This 465-nucleotide long non-coding RNA is filed under the name Pan troglodytes (chimpanzee). Its description in RNAcentral is "long non-coding RNA NONPTRT002731". The record is from RNAcentral. Lineage: Eukaryota; Metazoa; Chordata; Mammalia; Primates; Hominidae.
UAUUUACUUAUCUGUCAGCGGUCCCUGAGCUGCUCCCACCUUUUGGCUACUGUGGACGAUGCUGCUGUGAACCUCGGUGUGCAAAUAUCUGUUUGAGUUCCUGCUUUCAUUUCUUGUGGGAAUAUGCCCAGAAAUGGAAUUUGCUGGAUGAGCCCUGCAGGGUGUGGCCCUGCUGGUCAUCACCAUUUUACAGAAGAAUUAACCCAGACUCAAAGCCUCUGAGCAGCUCACUCAAGGUCAUGGAACUAGCAAAGAGCUAAGCCAAAACUCAAACUCCUGCUGUGUACGCCAAAGUCAGGCCCCUGACCAUGCUGCUGUCUGCCUCAGUUUCCCCUGCAGCAAAAUGGAGCUGGUGGUCUGGACCUUGUCUGCCUCAGAGGGAUGUCAGAGGCUCGAACUGUGCAGGUGAACUCUUCUGUCAGCAUCAGAGUGGGGCUUAAGCUCCAUGAAUUGAUAUCAUAACCC